CUCCCUUCUGCUUCCAUCAGCAUGGGUUGGGAGACCAGAAGAGAGAUCUGGCAGUGGGAGGCACGGUAGGGGAAAGAGCUGGGAAGCCCCUCAGGAGUGGAGGUGGUCUGUGGGGAUCUGGAUCCAUGUAAUGGGGCAGGGCUGAGAGAUGGCUUCACCUCACUGGAUUCUUCCAUCCCCACAACCCUGAAGGAGAAACUCAAGCAAUUCACUGCAGGUUCCCCCACUAUGUCAUGAAACCCCACCCCAUCCUAAAGGGAAAGUCUGAGGGCAGUCACAGCUAGCUGAUAAGGAGCUAUGCAGAAGGAGCCAACAGUCUAAGAAAUUAGAAGUGCAUGGGAAGGGGGUUUCUGUUUGGCAGCCUUGCUGCUAUAGGCCCAAGAGAUCAAUAUGGAUUUUGUGAUAUCAUUAGGUUUAGAAUGUCUGCCUCUUCCCUGGCAGGAGGGUGCAUUCCAUUUCUCCAGCAAAAAAAUGAAGAGGAAGCUACAGUUUCCCACACUUAUAAUGCAGGUGAAACCCAAAUAGGAGAAGAUGGGGCCCUAUGUAAUGUACAAAAAAGGAGCUCCAUAAGAUUGGCAUUAUCCUGUAGUAGUGUCACAGCCUGCAGUCGUUUAAUGCCACUUCUUCUGAGGCCAGGAUUCCACGCCCAAGUGCAUUUAGUAGAGCAGAUGAAAGGAGUGGAAAACCUGCUUCUUUAG
This 698-nucleotide long non-coding RNA is filed under the name Chrysemys picta bellii (western painted turtle). RNAcentral's name for it is "lncRNA (ENSCPBG00000010613.1)". The record is from RNAcentral. Lineage: Eukaryota; Metazoa; Chordata; Testudines; Emydidae.